GUGGGGAAUUUUGGACAAUGGGGGCAACCCUGAUCCAGCCAUGCCGCGUGAGUGAAGAAGGCCUUCGGGUUGUAAAGCUCUUUCGGCCGGGAAGAAAUCGCACAGGCUAAUACCUUGUGUGGAUGACGGUACCGGAAUAAGAAGCACCGGCUAACUACGUGCCAGCAGCCGCGGUAAUACGUAGGGUGCGAGCGUUAAUCGGAAUUACUGGGCGUAAAGCGUGCGCAGGCGGUUUCGUAAGACAGAUGUGAAAUCCCCGGGCUCAACCUGGGAACUGCAUUUGUGACUGCGAGGCUAGAGUAUGGCAGAGGGGGGUGGAAUUCCACGUGUAGCAGUGAAAUGCGUAGAGAUGUGGAGGAACACCGAUGGCGAAGGCAGCCCCCUGGGCCAAUACUGACGCUCAUGCACGAAAGCGUGGGGAGCAAACAGGAUUAGAUACCCGGGUAGUCC
Molecule: ribosomal RNA, 450 nt
Filed under: uncultured bacterium
Lineage: Bacteria
Description: bacterial SSU rRNA
Rfam family: Bacterial small subunit ribosomal RNA
Source: RNAcentral